RNAcentral lists this long non-coding RNA (1822 nucleotides) under Dunaliella salina. Its description in RNAcentral is "long non-coding RNA (DSAL_LNC000104)". Lineage: Eukaryota; Viridiplantae; Chlorophyta; Chlorophyceae; Chlamydomonadales; Dunaliellaceae. The record is from RNAcentral.
ACAAACACACUUCAAGGGCCUGCACACAAAAAAUGCUUUAGAGCAAACACCGCAGCAACAGAGUCGCAACACACACCAUACUAACUGGAGUUGCCAGAACUGUUAACAAUCCAUCUACAGUUGAUCCCCUCCGCGAACUAGGCCUAACCAAAGACAAAGCCCACACAACUGCAACCAAACUCUACUAUGAUGCUGUCAAGACCUCAACAGAAUUUAAGAGCACUAAACAUGCCAUUCAACUUAGCAUUCCAAGCAGUGGGGGCUUGUGGUGGGGAUCUACUGGGUGGGUUGCUUAAAGGAGAGCAGUGUCUAGUGUAGGCUUUGAGGGCCUUCUGGUGAGGCCACUGCUUCCUUGCUAACUUGUUAGUUAGUGGACCUUCCCUUAGUGCACGCGGCCUCUGGCUUGCGUAGACUUUCCUUUUCUUUUUCUUUAGAGCACUUUUCACUGCCUACCUCCACCUCUGUUACGACUUCUGCACCAUACCUCGCAAAAAACUUGGUUACAGUGCCCCCCAAUCCUGCCCUAACCGGCAUGUGGUGACUAGUUUGUGGUGAACACCAAUUAAGGUGACAUGUAGAGACUCUGUUAUCCCUAUUUGGACUUUUUGAGCUGCGCAAUUGAAGUCUGGUUACAGUGUGAGAAUGUUAAGUUGCUGCACGUUCCAAAGUGAUGAAGGUGUUGGUGUCGGUACUGAAUUCUAAUUCAACAAGGUGGAUUUUCUUGUCAUGAUCAGGGAUCUUAGAGGGAUCAUGGUGGACAGGUCGGCCUGGGAUAGAGCGCAUAAAGAUAGCAUCCGGGCGGCUUUGGUGGGGAGCUUGGGAGCCAGUACCAUUAGGGAACACCCAAUCAUGAAUGCCACGUGCACGUGCUACGUUUUCAGGGACUUUCAUUCCCUGUUCCUGGAAUACCGCAGCAAUACAUGCUAAUCAUGGAUGAGCCAUACCAGCCUUUACAAAGAGAGCCCGUUUUCUGGUCAUAUUCCCUUACACAGACUGUUAUUGGUUUUAGCAGAGAACCUGCACGAUAGCUUCAGGUCGCUUCCCUCUCAUGUUUGGCUGCUUAUCCCUAUGUCCCCAAUGAUAAAUUCUCAGGUUUGUUUGGCUGACUGCCUCUGUGCUCUAACAGCCAUGCUGAAGCUGAGGCUCACAGGUUAUCAGAACUUGAAGGCAAUGCACAACUUUUUGUUUGAGGGUUUUCAGGACUCUGUGGCUUGCCAAGGGGGCGGCAGUCCCUUUUGGCAUGUCCUCUGUCACAUGACCACCCAUUUAUUGCGGAAAGUAAUGACGGAAACUUAGCAGCGAAGUUCCCCGGUUGAACGUUUGGAGUGUGGUUUUAAAACUUGCUUCCUGCGUGAUUGCGCUCACACAACGAAUCUUGCCUUUACAAUUUCCAAGGAGCCUUUCAGAAACUUUGCUGACCAUCUUUUUGUGUGUCUUCCUGUGCCUUCAGCCCUCUUCUAAUGGGACGUUGCUAUGUCCCUAUAAUGAACAAGUGUCAAACAAACAAACAAACAAACAAACAAACAAACAAACAAACAAACAAACAAACAAACAAACAAACAAACAAACAAACAAACAAACAAACAAACAAGCAAGCAGACAAGCAAGCAAGCAAACAAACAAACAAGCAAACAAACAAACAAACAAACAAACAAACAAACAAACAAACAAACAAACAAACAAACAAACAAACAAACAAACAAACAAACAAACAAACAAACAAANAAACAAACAAACAAACAAACAAACAAACAAACAAACAAACAAACAAACAAACAAACAAACAAACAAACAAACAAACAAACAAACAAACAAACAAAUU